Molecule: long non-coding RNA, 2630 nt
Organism: Biomphalaria glabrata
Lineage: Eukaryota; Metazoa; Mollusca; Gastropoda; Planorbidae
Exons: 6
Source: RefSeq, a predicted model, not a curated record
UCUGGAUAAAUUAAAGUAGAUUAGAUCUAGAAUCUAGAUUAUUCUAGAUCUACAUCUACAUUUAAUUUUAAUGUCAUUUUUGUUUGUGAAUGUGCUUUUUUGGUUUAAGUUUAAGUCUAGUCAGACUAGGCCGUCACUAGGCACAAAUAAUUAUUUUAAGUGACGCAAGGAAAGCCGUUUGAAAUAAUUAGUCUAUAAUCAUUCGAAUCCCGUGGCGUGUCUCACAGUUUAUUAGAACCUUAAUAGAUUAGAUUUAGAAAGUCAAUUUAGAAAAGAUAGUAAAACCAAAUUCUUCAACCAUUAAAAUUAAUAUUUUAAAAUACACUCUCGGAACCAAAGAGUGAAAGAAUGAUGGCAUCACUAUGAUCACUUCUUGCUGGAUCUGUCCAAGAGUCAAUGAGUACAGGUGGACCAUGUUGGAAAAUAACUUUCAGUCAAGACUCAAGUUGAGACAAGAGCUCCAUUGAUGUUAUUGAUCAAACUGAACAUGUUCUAGAGAUACUGGAGAAAAGAUUUGAGUGCAGUACAGACUCAUUUUCAAUUGAAAGCAAUUAAAAGAAGCAGAGAUAAAUACAAUCAGGAUUAGGUAUGAAGCAAAUUUCCCAAUGGCAAAUAAUGUAUCACUGUUGGAAAUAGAAGUGAAACUGAAGGAUGAAGAUUCUCAUGAAAAUUUGAUCUAUCCAGUGAAAACAGCAUUAAGAGAACAAUAGUAUGGAUUAUAACUUGGCUGGACUGGACAUGGCACAAACAGAAAAUAAAUGUAUUGAAUUUUCAAUCCAAAUUAUGGAUAUUAGAUUAUUCAAGUGAGUUACCCAAGUCUGUCAAAUAACUUAGAGAAAGUACUUGAACUUGGCACAUGUGAUGGCACAGAAAUCGUAAAAAAAAGAAGGAUGAUGGCUUCAACUCUGAAGGAACAUCCCAAUCAUGUAUAACAUUUUACAAACAAACCUAAUCAAAGUUUAUAAAUGUUUAAAAAAAGUAAGAUGCACAAGCAAAUUUAUUUACAUACUACAGAUAUUAGAACUAAUGGAAAAAGAACAACUACCUAUCUAGACUUAACAACAAAGAAAUAAGUAAAUAUAAUAUUUCAAACAUGUGCUGGAUCUUGUUAACCAUUAGCCAAAGAAACUGAUGGCCUUAACAUCAUCUGCCCUAUAGAUGCUAAGUUUGAAAAGGGGAACUUUACUUUUAUUACAACAUAAGGUUAUAAGUUGACAGUUACAGAUGAUGUACCAUAUGAGUAUCAUUGUUGUUUACUGGCUUUUGAACAGUAGCUUGAAACAUUUGCUCUUUCUUACAUAGAAUAUUCACUGUUAAAAAAUUAUGAAUAUGAUAGUGCAGCUAGUUACUCUGCUCAAAAUUGAAAAAAAUAUUUUGUUGAAAUUAUAAACAUGAGCUACCGGUAUAUAUAAAUGUAUAGUUUUCAUUGUUGAGCACACACUUUUUCUUUGGUACUGGGUAACGUACAUGACCUAUAUUUUUUUGAAAUAUUAUCAUCUAAAAUUAGGCGAGGUCUUGAGAAUAUUUACCUCGAACAGACUCAGCUUUGGGUUUUUGUGCAUGUAGACCCUAUUGAUUAAAAAGCACCAUUCUCUAAUUAUAUUUUACUUGUUUAAAUUUAUAUAUUUAUGGUUAUUAAUUAUUCUUUGUAUUUAUUUUUUAAAUUUUUUUUUGUAAAGUAAGCACUGGUAUUUUUCUAAAAGUAUGUUUCACACUUAUUUCAUUUUAAACAAAUUAAGUCAUUUACUUAAUGUUCAAUUAUGUUCUAAAUGUAUGUUUUUAAAAUUUCAGUGUUUAUAUUGCUAACAUUUCACAAACUUGUUACAGGUAGCUUAUUUUUGUUUUGGUCAUUUUUUCUUUAGAACUACCGGUACAACAUAAUCUAAAAAAAAAUUUGUUUCAUGAUUGUCAAAACAGUUUGCUUUUCAAUUUACAUACAGCAGGCUCAUACUUUGUUUAGAUAAUUCUGAAUUACAUUCUAUAUAUAAUUUAUAGGUUUCUGUAUAGGCUAUUCAAGCUUUUGUACAUGUUAAAAUUUCAUAAAUUUGGUAGCCAUUAUAUUUUUUUAAAAUUUUAUGGUAUAAUAAGUACUUAUUGUAUUUUUAAAAUAUAAGCAUCCAUAUUUUAAAAACUUAUUUCUAAUUUGCCAUUUUAAGCAAUUUUUUAUUACAAUUAAUAUUUAAAUGAAUAUGCUUUUACUUAUUUCAGUGUACAUAUUGCUUACAUUCCACCAACUCAAUACUUUUUUUGUUACUUUUAUUUUUUUACAUUUUUUUUACAUAAUUACAAAAGCUAAGUUGUUUUUUGUUGUUGUUUUUAUGAUUGUCAAAACUGUUUGCUUUAAACAUAAUUUUUAUACAGCACUUAUACUUUCUGUAGAUGAUCCUGAAUUAUGUUCUUUAUAAAUUUGUUAUACAUUUUCAUGUUAUCAUUCACAACUUUUUUGUUGACUCAAUGCAUUUUCCAUAGUAUACUAAAAUAUUAUAGGAUCAAUUUUCACAGUUAAAAUCUUUGCUACAGGUAUUGCUUUUACUUUAAAAAAAAGUUUUUUAGUGUAUUCCGGUAUUUUUAAUUAUUUUAAAUAGUUGCUAACAUUAACAUUUUAUAAUGCAAUAAACUAUUAAUUUCAA